Molecule: transfer RNA, 76 nt
Filed under: Nysius plebeius
Lineage: Eukaryota; Metazoa; Arthropoda; Insecta; Hemiptera; Lygaeidae
Description: tRNA-Asp
Source: RNAcentral
CCUUAAUGAUCAAUAGAUUAGUUUAAUAUAAAACAUUAAUUUGUCAAAUUAAAAAUAUUAAUUAUAAUAUCUAUUU